AGCGUUGUUCGGAAUUACUGGGCGUAAAGCGUGCGCAGGCGGUUUCUCAAGUCAGGGGUGAAAGCCCGGAGCUCAACUCCGGAAAUGCCCUUGAAACUGUGAAGCUAGAGUGCGGGAGAGGUGAGUGGAAUUCCCAGUGUAG
RNAcentral lists this ribosomal RNA (142 nucleotides) under uncultured Alphaproteobacteria bacterium. Its description in RNAcentral is "partial 16S ribosomal RNA". It matches the Rfam family "Bacterial small subunit ribosomal RNA", at positions 537 to 678 of the family's 1533-position model. Lineage: Bacteria; Pseudomonadati; Pseudomonadota; Alphaproteobacteria. The record is from RNAcentral.